RNAcentral lists this transfer RNA (89 nucleotides) under endosymbiont of Euscepes postfasciatus. It matches the Rfam family "tRNA". From Rfam's summary of the family: Transfer RNA (tRNA) molecules are approximately 80 nucleotides in length. Their secondary structure includes four short double-helical elements and three loops (D, anti-codon, and T loops). Further hydrogen bonds mediate the characteristic L-shaped molecular structure. tRNAs have two regions of fundamental functional importance: the anti-codon, which is responsible for specific mRNA codon recognition, and the 3' end, to which the tRNAs corresponding amino acid is attached (by aminoacyl-tRNA synthetases). tRNAs cope with the degeneracy of the genetic code in two manners: having more than one tRNA (with a specific anti-codon) for a particular amino acid; and 'wobble' base-pairing, i.e. permitting non-standard base-pairing at the 3rd anti-codon position. The record is from Rfam by way of RNAcentral. Lineage: Bacteria; Pseudomonadati; Pseudomonadota; Gammaproteobacteria.
GAUGAGAUGGCUGAGUGGAUUAAAGCACUUCUCUGCUAAAGAAGAAUGUAAUUAAUUUUACAUCGAGGGUUCGAAUCCCUCUCUCAUCA